UUAGAGUUUGAUCAUGGCUCAGAACGUACGCUGGCGGCACGCCUAACACAUGCAAGUCGAACGAAGUAGCAAUACUUAGUGGCAGACGGGUGAGUAACAUGUGGGUAUCUGCCCUUUGGCCUGGAAUAACACGAGGAAACUUGUGCUAAUACUGGAUAAGUCUUUACGGAGAAAGCUUUAUGCACCAUUGGAUGAGCCCGCACUUGAUUAGUUUGUUGGUGGGGUAAUGGCCUACCAAGACUGUGAUCAAUAGCUGAUUUGAGAGGAUGAUCAGCCACAUUGGGACUGAGACACGGCCCAAACUCCUACGGGAGGCAGCAGUGGGGAAUCUUGCACAAUGGAGGAAACUCUGAUGCAGCGAUGCCGCGUGAGUGAAGAAGGCCCUUGGGUUGUAAAGCUCUUUCGUCGGGGAAGAAAAUGACUGUACCCGAAUAAGAAGGUCCGGCUAACUUCGUGCCAGCAGCCGCGGUAAUACGAAGGGACCUAGCGUAGUUCGGAAUUACUGGGCUUAAAGAGUUCGUAGGUGGUUGAAAAAGUUGGUGGUGAAAUCCCAGAGCUUAACUCUGGAACUGCCAUCAAAACUUUUCAGCUAGAGUUUGAUAGAGGAAAGCAGAAUUUCUAGUGUAGAGGUGAAAUUCGUAGAUAUUAGAAAGAAUACCAAUUGCGAAGGCAGCUUUCUGGAUCAUUACUGACACUGAGGAACGAAAGCAUGGGUAGCGAAGAGGAUUAGAUACCCUCGUAGUCCAUGCUGUAAACGAUGUGUGUUAGACGUUGGAAAUUUAUUUUCAGUGUCGCAGCGAAAGCGAUAAACACACCGCCUGGGGAGUACGACCGCAAGGUUAAAACUCAAAUGAAUUGACGGGGACCCGCACAAGUAGUGGAGCAUGUGGUUUAAUUCGAAGAUACGCGCAGAACCUUACCAACACUUGACAUGUUCGUCGCGACUUUAAGAGAUUAAAGUUUUCGGUUCGGCCGGACGAAACACAGGUGCUGCAUGGCUGUCGUCAGCUCGUGUCGUGAGAUGUUGGGUUAAGUCCCGCAACGAGCGCAACCCUCACUUUUAGUUGCCAUCAUUUAGUUGGGCACUCUGAAAGAACUGCCAGUGAUAAGCUGGAGGAAGGUGGGGAUGACGUCAAGUCCUCAUGGCCCUUACGUGUUGGGCUACACACGUGCUACAAUGGUAUUUACAACAGGAAGCAAAACAGCGAUGUUAAGCAAAUCCUCAAAAGAUACCUCAGUUCGGAUUGCACUCUGCAACUCGAGUGCAUGAAGCUGGAAUUACUAGUAAUCGUGGAUCAGCGUGCCAGGGUGAAUGCGUUCCGCGGGUCUUGUACACACCGCC
RNAcentral lists this ribosomal RNA (1342 nucleotides) under unidentified marine bacterioplankton. Its description in RNAcentral is "bacterial SSU rRNA". It matches the Rfam family "Bacterial small subunit ribosomal RNA". The record is from RNAcentral.